RNAcentral lists this ribosomal RNA (253 nucleotides) under uncultured bacterium. RNAcentral's name for it is "partial 16S ribosomal RNA". It matches the Rfam family "Bacterial small subunit ribosomal RNA", at positions 524 to 776 of the family's 1533-position model. The record is from RNAcentral.
UACAGAGGUCCCAAGCGUUGUUCGGAUUCACUGGGCGUAAAGGGUGCGUAGGUGGUGAGGUAAGUCGGAUGUGAAAUCUCCGGGCUCAACCCGGAAAUGGCAUUGGAAACUACUUUGCUGGAGGAUUUGAGGGGGGAUUGGAAUACUUGGUGUAGCAGUGAAAUGCGUAGAUAUCAAGUGGAACACCAGUGGCGAAGGCGAAUCCCUGGAAAAUACCUGACACUGAGGCACGAAAGCUAGGGGAGCAAACAGG